RNAcentral lists this ribosomal RNA (439 nucleotides) under uncultured bacterium. Its description in RNAcentral is "partial 16S ribosomal RNA". It matches the Rfam family "Bacterial small subunit ribosomal RNA", at positions 339 to 795 of the family's 1533-position model. The record is from RNAcentral.
CUACGGGCGGCUGCAGUGAGGAAUAUUGCACAAUGGGGGGAACCCUGAUGCAGCAACGCCGCGUGGAGGAUGACGCAUUUCGGUGUGUAAACUCCUUUUAUAUGUCAAGAAAAUGACGGUAGCAUAUGAAUAAGCGCCGGCUAACUCCGUGCCAGCAGCCGCGGUAAUACGGAGGGUGCAAGCGUUACUCGGAAUCACUGGGCGUAAAGGACGCGUAGGCGGGUUGGAAAGUCAGGUGUGAAAUCCUACAGCUUAACUGGAGAACUGCACUUGAAACUUCUAAUCUAGAGUAUGGGAGGGGGAGAUGGAAUUAGUGGUGUAGGGGUAAAAUCCGUAGAUAUCACUAGGAAUACCUAAAGCGAAGGCGAUCUCCUGGAACAUUACUGACGCUAAGGCGUGAAAGCGUGGGGAGCAAACAGGAUUAGAUACCCCCGUAGUC